UUGUGACAUAAUCGUGAAAUACGAUGAGAACAGAUGACUGUAGAGGCAUCCUUACACAAAUUCUUUCUAAUAAUCUAAAAAAUAUUUGAGGAAGACUUGGUUGGUUUCGAACACUUCCAAGUGGUGAAAGCAAAGACUCACAGAAGACAGAGGCUUAUGCCUCGUGCCACAUGACUAUCAAAGUUGUUUCUUCAGCAUCUGCUCCUCUUCAUCAAACAGAAAUGCAAACCAUCAUUAACAUCUACCCAAGAAUCCAUAGACCAAGAAAAUGCCAAAGACACCCAGAUACCUGGCUUAUCUGCCAACCCUCACCACGAAAAUGAACAAUGGAGCGUAGAGCUUAUGCUGUGGGAGCCUCUCAAACCUUCAUAUGCAUGGUAACAGCUCAGGAAUGGCUUUAGAAGGUGGGCCUGGGAGUCUGCAUUUCUAAUGAGCACCCAGGGGGAGGGCUCCCAGCAGCCAGGCUCUGGGUUACCUGUGCUUCCCGAGGGGGAGGGGGCUCCCCCUCUGCAGGCCUGGGGCACUGUGCUGGGGCAGUGACGUUACCACAUAAUUCCUUGGUUUAUUAUAUCCAUGUGCUAGUUUUGUCCCCACCGCAAUAACUGGGGCCACACAGGUGCAGAAGCAGUGCUGGAUGAAUGGAAGUCAAAGGAGAUACUCUGUCCUCAACCAGGAGAGGCACGUCCUGCUGUGUAGAAAGAUUUGUGUCACACGAAGAGCAGAGCUCAGUGGAUGAAAAAAUUAUCUCUGUGGGUGAGCUCUGGAAAUCGGAAAGCCGCAGUGAAGUAAAUCUUCCGUGCGGCCCCAGGGGUGACAUUUGUCACAGGUUUGGAAAAGGUCUGACUUCUAGAGAUGUCCCAUGCCUUAGCUUCCGAGAACCGCUGGCUGACACCAGCCACCGAUACCCUUGUGAUAACAUUGGAACAUGGAAAGAAAAGGUAAAGAAAAUAAAGCACAUUUUCUUCCUUUUUUGGGAGGAGGGAAAAUUCAUCUGAAUAUUUACUUACAACCCCAUAGUGUUUUUCCAAAAUGCAGGCAUUACAAUGUAAAAGAGAACAUGUACAAUUAGGCUACAGAGCCAUCAUUUUAUACCUGCAACCUGGAAAACACCCAGUGAUCCAGUCUCUAAGCUCACUGCACUAUGAAGGGCUGGGGGCCUGUUGUUGGCCCAGUUCUAAAUGCCUGCCCUUGGCCUUGGGUGGACGCCAAAAAUGACACCAGCUCACUCUCUGUAAAAUGCAUCUCUGAAGGACAAGCCCAGGAUACCCCAUCACUUGGGAGGUAGCGUUUUGAAAAGAAAAACAACCAGGAUGGGCAGAUAUUUGUACUAACUCCAGGUACUUUAACAUAGACUUAAAAUCACACGUUUGAUUCACAGAAUAAAAAAUUCAGGAGGAAAGGCGUCUUUAUCAUCAGCAGUGCAGUGAAUCAAGUAAGUGUUCUGGGGUCUGUUUGUAGGUCUGAUAUAUCCCGCCUUAACUCAUCAGUUUAUUGAUAAAGUUUAAGUUUAAGUAAAUAUUACCCCCCCCCCCACGAAAUGCAGAUGAUAAGAUGGGAUGGUGUCAGAGCAGGGAGGUGUGGGGUGUGCCCUGGACCACAAAGAGGCUCAAGCUCUUUGGUCCAGUCCCUUACUCAUCAAAGACAUCACUUCCCUGAACCCGGCUGGUGAGUUGAAUGUGGACAGUGUCCCUUGUCCUGACUCCUGGCUGGGCUGGCUGUAGGGAUCCAGCUGGACCCCAGGCACAAUUUCCACAUGUCCCUCAAUAGGCACAAUUUCCACAUGUCCCUCAAUAGGCACCUAUGGAUGGCUUGCGCACUGGCCAGCUCAGCGCUGACCGCAGGUACGUCAAUACUGAUGGAACCCAGGUAGUGGGGUGUUCUUGGGAGACAAAGAACUCUCCUUACAUUUUUAUUCUUGUUGAAAAAGCCUCCCUAAGGUAUUUUAAGAGACGUUCUUACUCCGCUAAGUACAGGUUAAUAAACUAACCCCCAGGAAGGAUGAUUCAUGACCCAGAGUCACAGGGUCCAUAGCAGCCCCCGAACCCUGUACCUGAAGGCAGUUGAGGAUGGGGGAGGGGACGAGAGUGGCACCUCAGCACCCCCUCCUCACUGAGACUCACUGAGUCUUCCCUUCUAGGUUAAAUCCUUAUCACUUCUUUUGGUUAUCGGUUCGUGUCCCCUCAAAGUGGCUUUAGGAAAAGAGGUUUCCUUUAAGGUGUCAGUUCCUUGGCUUCUGAUUUAUAGGUUUGGCUACAUUUGGAAAGACACUGCCAUGGUGAAUAUGGCAGAUAUGUUACUACAUGUCCCAAAUUGGCACUGAGCCCUGGAUUUGGAGAUCACAGCAAUAAAGAAAAAGAAAGGGGUUUCUUCCUUCUUUUCUCCAACCUUGUGAUGAAAACAACUUAUUUCCUUUAACCCGGGUGAAAGAUUUAUCAACACUUCAUUUCAGAAAUCAGUUUUGGCCCCUUUCAUUUCCUUUAGUUGUCCUUGCCAGAAAUCUCUGUGCAAUGAGCAGUUCCCCCAAAAAUCAUGACCACUAAAGGAAACUUUAGUUUCAAGAAAAAAAAAAAACAACCUGGAAAGAAAACUACUAAAUAUUAAGUAUUUAACUGAUAUAAAGACUGCAGUGCAUGAAAUGAGUAGAAGAAAAAAAAAGCUAUCUAAAUAAGGCGCAGAUUUUUUUCAUAUGUCGAUUACAUGUUAUUAAAUCUAUAGCUUAUUGAUUAUAGAACUCAUAAAAUAGGUAACAUUUUAAAACUUAUAAGAAGACACCACAUGAUAAGGUUUUGGAUGAAGGAGCAAAUGAUAUAAACUAAAAUGCAAAGAAACAACUAAAUUACAAUUUUAUUACAAAACCGAAGCCAACUGGUGGACCAAUAAGACCAUCAAAGGACAGUGGGCUUCGACUCUAAUGUAAUUAAGAGCCUUGAAUUCACGGCGCCUCUGUGCAGUCACAUAGGAAAGCCAUCUCAGAGGCUAGAAUAUAUUUUCCUAAUUAGAGAAAAGGGGUUGGGCUGGUGUAAAGCACUUUGCCAAUGCAGGAGACAAUUACCAAUAUUAGCAGAUCAGUUGCUGGAGGAUCAGACCAAGGAUACUAGUAACAAAAGAAAGGAGCAGAGAAAAUACAAUGGUCAUGAUUUAGAUGGAUGCAUGAGAGCCUUCUCAGCACCACCUGUAACCUGAAUUGUGUUGGCGCAAAGGCUGGAAAUGCUAAUAAGGCAUAUGAUUAGAGGUGGGUCUGGGGUUAUAAAUUGCUUUUUUAAUGGUGGUGUUAGCAGCUGACAUAGAGUAUAUGAAGAAGAUGAGAAUGUCAGUAUCCAUUUUUAUUAGUGUCAGAAACAAUAUGCAGUAUAUUUAGAUUAGCUUCAUUUGUAUCAGUAUUUUUAUAAGUAGUAGCUGUAGAAGCAGAAACAUCCAAUGUAUUUUACAAAGAAGAACUAAAUACAGUUGCCAGUGUUCUCCACAAAAGAGCCAGAACUUUUACCUUGGGGAAAACAGGCCACAUUUCCUGAGUUAAUUCAGAAUUCAAGAGCACAACAAAUGCUGGAUUCUGGAUCAGAAGAAAAUUUUUAAAAAAUGCUAAAAAUAUAUCCUUCCAUAUGAAUCAGAGCUCUUUUCCAAGAUUGAGACGGGAUGACAGGGUCCAUAUCUGAUCAACUUAAACCACCCAAGACACCACUUGAGACCUAUGUAACCUAAGUGUGAUCAUAAAUGAACAAUAAUCAAUAAGUUUUAUAAACUUGUUCUUAGUAAAGAAAAAUAGGUGAGUUAAUUUUGGUUAUGAAUUUCCGCAGCAAUUAUCACCACUUUCUCAGUUGAUCUCAUGACAAACUAGGUAAAACUGAGUAUCAGACAAAACGUAAUUGCUAGAGAAUCAGGAGGAUAGGAAAUGUGAUUUUAUGUAUCUUAUUUUUAAACAUCAAAAAAAAUUUUGACCACGUCCACGGCAUGUAAAAGUUCUCAGGCCAGGGACUGAAUCCUUGCCCCAGCAGUGACAAUACCGUAUCCCUAACCUGCUGAGCCACCAGGGAACUCUCCAGAAAAUGUUAUUUUAAAAAAAAAAUUUUUUUUUGUAAUUUCAGAAAACUAGGCUUUGAAAAAUAGACCACAACAGUGAAACUAUAGAAUUUAAAAAAUCCAGUUGCUAAGGACAUCAAAAACAGACUAUUUCUUUUUGAUUUCUAUUUUAGAUAAUUAGUAUUAACUGCGUAUCAGAGAAAGCCCAGCCCUGGUGGUACGAAGCUGGCCUGAGUCAGGAGCCUGGAUUCCUUACUAGUUGUGUAAUCUUGGGCUAUUUCCAUCAACUCUUUAUUUACACUGUCUUCAUCUGAAAAUCCAUAGUUUCUACCUUGUAAGGUCCUUGGUAGGAGUGAUGGGACGGAAUGCUCCAGAACGCCCAGGAGUGUCUGGCUCUUAAUAAACAGUCGUCUCACUGUCAUUAUUGAUGCCAAUAAACCACUUACAGGAUAAUUUCUAUUUCUCCAGAAAGGUCACAUUAAAUAUUUUCUCCUCACGGUUGCUUCUCUCUGCCAAUGCCUUCCUUUUUACUCUGGGAAUUCUGUUUCUCCUUAGGCCAAAACACCCAAGUUAUUCAUUCUUUGAAAAUUCUCUCUUGUUUUUCAAGUUAUUCUUCAAGACACAUCCCUGAAAAACCCUCCCCCCUCCCCAGGAAGAGCCCGAUUCUCUAAAAAGACUCCAACCGAAAACACAGUCAAGCCUUCAGCUGGGCCGCUGGAGGACUGACCCCAGAGGGCAGACGUGCAGAUCCUGGCCUUGGUCAUUUUCACCUUCUCUCUAUCUCUCUGAAGGAGCACCCAGGCCCCCCAAAUAGGAGCUGUUACCAAGAGGAGGUUUAAGAAGCAAGAAUCUGAGAGGCCAGACACUGCGGCUGUCUAAUCCUGUCCUGAUGUGUGUGUGUGUGUGUGUGCGUAUGUAUUCUCUGUUCUCUCAUAAAAGUUAUUUGAAAGGUAAAAUUCUCCAUGACAAAACCAAGGCCAUGGGUUUCCUACAAACGCAUUUCCACAGAGAAAAGAACCUGCAUGAAAGCUGGUACCCCAUUCUGAUGGAUCCAUUUGCCACUACAUCCAGGAACCAAGACUUGCAGGCUGGAGGUGCUAAGAUAGCACUCCUGUAGGAAAUCAGGAGCACAGUUGCCUGGAAAAACCACUCUGUAAAUCCUAAGUGCACACAUUGUGAGCCAGCCACUGUUCCACACCCAGACACUCACACAUGCUCUCGUUUUCACACCUCUCCCUGAGGAACACACAGAGACCAUGGCUGUUUUCAGAGAGGUGGAGCAGACCGAGACUGUGGGACUAGAGAGGACACAAGGGGCACAUCUUGCUGACAA
RNAcentral lists this long non-coding RNA (5350 nucleotides) under Sus scrofa (pig). RNAcentral's name for it is "lncRNA (ENSSSCG00045000019.1)". The record is from RNAcentral. Lineage: Eukaryota; Metazoa; Chordata; Mammalia; Artiodactyla; Suidae.